CUACGGGAUGCUGCAGUGAGGAAUAUUGCACAAUGGGGGGAACCCUGAUGCAGCAACGCCGCGUGGAGGAUGACGCAUUUCGGUGUGUAAACUCCUUUUAUAUGUCAAGAAAAUGACGGUAGCAUAUGAAUAAGCUCCGGCUAACUCCGUGCCAGCAGCCGCGGUAAUACGGAGGGAGCAAGCGUUACUCGGAAUCACUGGGCGUAAAGGACGCGUAGGCGGGAUAGAAAGUCAGGUGUGAAAUCCUAUGGCUCAACCAUAGAACUGCACUUGAAACUUCUAACCUAGAGUAUGGGAGGGGGAGAUGGAAUUAGUGGUGUAGGGGUAAAAUCCGUAGAUAUCACUAGGAAUACCAAAAGCGAAGGCGAUCUCCUGGAACAAUACUGACGCUAAGGCGUGAAAGCGUGGGGAGCAAACAGGAUUAGAUACCCGCGUAGUC
RNAcentral lists this ribosomal RNA (439 nucleotides) under uncultured bacterium. Its description in RNAcentral is "partial 16S ribosomal RNA". It matches the Rfam family "Bacterial small subunit ribosomal RNA", at positions 339 to 795 of the family's 1533-position model. The record is from RNAcentral.